CAUUCCUACGGGGCGCAGCAGUGGGGAAUAUUGCACAAUGGGGGAAACCCUGAUGCAGCGACGCCGCGUGAGUGAAGAAGUAUCUCGGUAUGUAAAGCUCUAUCAGCAGGAAAGAUAAUGACGGUACCUGACUAAGAAGCCCCGGCUAACUACGUGCCAGCAGCCGCGGUAAUACGUAGGGGGCAAGCGUUAUCCGGAUUUACUGGGUGUAAAGGGAGCGUAGACGGCAGCGCAAGUCUGGAGUGAAAUGCAGGGGCUUAACCCCUGAACUGCUUUGGAAACUGCCAUGCUA
Molecule: ribosomal RNA, 292 nt
Filed under: uncultured bacterium
Lineage: Bacteria
Description: partial 16S ribosomal RNA
Rfam family: Bacterial small subunit ribosomal RNA
Source: RNAcentral